RNAcentral lists this ribosomal RNA (250 nucleotides) under uncultured bacterium. RNAcentral's name for it is "partial 16S ribosomal RNA". It matches the Rfam family "Bacterial small subunit ribosomal RNA", at positions 524 to 776 of the family's 1533-position model. The record is from RNAcentral.
UACAGAGGUGGCAAGCGUUGUUCGGAAUUACUGGCGUAAGGCGCGUAGGCGGCCAUCUAAGUCAGACGUGAAAUCCCCCGGCUUAACCUGGGAACUGCGUCUGAUACUGGACGGCUUGAGUAUGGGAGAGGGAUGUAGAAUUCCAGGUGUAGCGGUGAAAUGCGUAGAUAUCUGGAGGAAUACCGGUGGCGAAGGCGGCAUCCUGGACCAUUACUGACGCUGAGGCGCGAAAGCUAGGGGAGCAAACGGG